UGCAGUCGAGCGAACAGAAGGGAGCUUGCUCCCGGAUGUUAGCGGCGGACGNNNNNNAANCGUGGGUAACCUGCCUGUAAGACUGGGAUAACUCCGGGAAACCGGAGCUAAUACCGGAUAGUUCCUUGAACCGCAUGGUUCAAGGAUGAAAGACGGUUUCGGCUGUCACUUACAGAUGGACCCGCGGCGCAUUAGCUAGUUGGUGGGGUAAUGGCUCACCAAGGCGACGAUGCGUAGCCGACCUGAGAGGGUGAUCGGCCACACUGGGACUGAGACACGGCCCAGACUCCUACGGGAGGCAGCAGUAGGGAAUCUUCCGCAAUGGACGAAAGUCUGACGGAGCAACGCCGCGUGAGUGAUGAAGGUUUUCGGAUCGUAAAGCUCUGUUGUUAGGGAAGAACAAGUGCGAGAGUAACUGCUCGCACCUUGACGGUACCUAACCAGAAAGCCACGGCUAACUACGUGCC
Molecule: ribosomal RNA, 467 nt
Filed under: Bacillus safensis
Lineage: Bacteria; Bacillati; Bacillota; Bacilli; Caryophanales; Bacillaceae
Description: bacterial SSU rRNA
Rfam family: Bacterial small subunit ribosomal RNA
Source: RNAcentral